Molecule: ribosomal RNA, 674 nt
Filed under: uncultured bacterium
Lineage: Bacteria
Description: bacterial SSU rRNA
Rfam family: Bacterial small subunit ribosomal RNA
Source: RNAcentral
AUGCUUAACACAUGCAAGUCGAACGGUAACAUUUCUAGCUUGCUAGAAGAUGACGAGUGGCGGACGGGUGAGUAAUGCUUGGGAACUUGCCUUUGCGAGGGGGAUAACAGUUGGAAACGACUGCUAAUACCGCAUAAUGUCUUCGGACCAAACGGGGCUUCGGCUCCGGCGCAAGGAGAGGCCCAAGUGAGAUUAGCUAGUUGGUAAGGUAACGGCUUACCAAGGCGACGAUCUCUAGCUGUUCUGAGAGGAAGAUCAGCCACACUGGGACUGAGACACGGCCCAGACUCCUACGGGAGGCAGCAGUGGGGAAUAUUGCACAAUGGGGGAAACCCUGAUGCAGCCAUGCCGCGUGUGUGAAGAAGGCCUUCGGGUUGUAAAGCACUUUCAGUUGUGAGGAAAAGUUAGUAGUUAAUACCUGCUAACCGUGACGUUAACAACAGAAGAAGCACCGGCUAACUCCGUGCCAGCAGCCGCGGUAAUACGGAGGGUGCGAGCGUUAAUCGGAAUUACUGGGCGUAAAGCGCACGCAGGCGGUUUGUUAAGCUAGAUGUGAAAGCCCCGGGCUCAACCUGGGAUGGUCAUUUAGAACUGGCAGACUAGAGUCUUGGAGAGGGGAGUGGAAUUCCAGGUGUAGCGGUGAAAUGCGUAGAUAUCUGAAGGAACACCAGUGG